GCGGCGCGCCUAACACAUGCAAGUCGAGCGAGAACCGGAGCUUCGGCUCCGGGGACAGCGGCGAACGGGUGAGUAACACGUGGAUAACCUGCCCUCGGCACCGGAAUAGCCCGGGGAACCCGGAUUAAUGCCGGAUGGCCCCACAUCCCUGCGGGGAACGUGGGAAAAGGUAGCUUCGGCCUCUGGCCGAGGAUGGGUCCGCGGUGGAUUAGCUUGUUGGUGGGGUAAUGGCCCACCAAGGCGACGAUCCAUAGCUGGUCUGAGAGGACGAUCAGCCACACUGGGACUGAGACACGGCCCAGACUCCUACGGGAGGCAGCAGUGGGGAAUCUUGCGCAAUGGGCGAAAGCCUGACGCAGCGACGCCGCGUGCGGGAAGAAGGCCUUAGGGUUGUAAACCGCUUUCAGGAGGGACGAAGCCACUCGGGUGAAUAGCCCAGAGGGUGACGGUACCUCCAGAAGAAGCCCCGGCUAACUACGUGCCAGCAGCCGCGGUAAUACGUAGGGGGCAAGCGUUGUCCGGAUUCAUUGGGCGUAAAGAGCGUGUAGGCGGCCAGGUAGGUCGGUUGUGAAAACUGGAGGCUCAACCUUCAGAGGUCGACCGAAACCAUCUGGCU
Molecule: ribosomal RNA, 616 nt
Filed under: uncultured soil bacterium
Lineage: Bacteria
Description: bacterial SSU rRNA
Rfam family: Bacterial small subunit ribosomal RNA
Source: RNAcentral